RNAcentral lists this ribosomal RNA (495 nucleotides) under Triticum aestivum (bread wheat). RNAcentral's name for it is "partial small subunit ribosomal RNA". Lineage: Eukaryota; Viridiplantae; Streptophyta; Magnoliopsida; Poales; Poaceae. The record is from RNAcentral.
AUGCAGCUAGUUACGGGUGGGCACACGGUGGUGGUGGUUAAUGGUCAGACUAGUAACUUCUUUGCUAAUGGUAGGGGCCUAAGGCAAGGAGAUCCGGCGCCCCCUCUGCUUUUUAACUUCAUUGCGGAUGCCCUGUCCCAUAUCCUUUCGCGGGCGGUUGAUGCCGGUCACAUUACGCCUGUUAGCUCCCACCUUAUCCCCAAUUGCAUUACUCACCUUCAAUAUGCGGACGAUACCAUUAUUAUGGUGGAAUUGAAUGAGACCUGCCUCACGAACCUGAAGUUUAUCCUCUUAUGUUUCGAAGCGCUUUCGGGGCUUAAAAUUAAUUUCUCUAAGAGUGAAGUGAUUGUAACUGGGGUUCAUACUAUGGAAGCACAUAGAGUGGCGCACCUCCUGAACUGCUCUCUAGGUUCCUACCCUCUCAAAUAUUUAGGCUUACCAAUUUCUCCUCUCAAACUUUUGGCAAAAGACUUCGCUCCGGUAGUGACUAAGGUU